ACGUCGCCUUUCUCCCCUCAUUUUUCUGUGUGCGUGGUGGUGGGUGAAAACCCUAGAUCGACACGGUGGUGCAAAAAUCCCCCAACCCUCGUUCUCCUUGUUUGCCCGUGUGUGGCGGCGACGACGGCGUGCGGGAGGAGGAGGGAGGCAGAGCUGCGCCGGCCUCCCUAGGUGAAGAAAAGGAGGCUGGGGCGCAGCGUGGAGGUGGCGGCCGUCCCGGCUCUGGAUGCGAGGCGCGCGAUGCAUCGCGGGUUGAGGGAGCGGUGAUGGGCUGGCGGCGGCGACGAUCUCUCCACCUUGCCGGCGUCGCGCCUCCUCUUCUCCGACCCCGAGAACCAACCCGCAUCGGCAGCGGCAGGUCGCUGCUGGUCACAGGGAGACGACACACCGGAGGGGGAUUUGGCUGUGUUGCCUGGCGGAGAUGAUGCAGAGGCGGAGGAGAUGAAUCCUCCAGCCGACGACCCACGGUGGAGUCUUGGCCGCAGAGGUCGCGGACGCCUUCCCGUCCUUGAGCCAUCUCCCCUCCGUGGUUGGCGGCGCAGAGCAGAGUGACGAGCCGCAGGAGCUCGCCGGGCGUCUGCUCGCCACCUGCGGGGGGCACAGUCCCGUCCCCCAGUUCUCCGUCAGGCAGCUUUGUUGAUGACUGGAUGCACGGCAUGAUCGGGUAGACUAGCAGCCUGGAGGUAUAGAGGUACCUCGCAGCUUUGUUGAUGACUGGAUGCACGCCAUGAUCAAGAGUAUGCCAGAUGAUAUAUUUAUUUAGCAGAAUUCUCUUAUAUGAAGCAAGUGCAGAUGAUGGCUGGACAUGUCCUUGCCCAAUCCCCGACGAACUCUCCUCCCAACGGUGGCGCGCCGCCUCUUCUCGGGAUGGAGUCGGACGGGGACGGCCGUUGUGGGGAGGUUGAGGAGCUGGUGCAGGCCAUCGGGGGACAGCGCGGGGAGGAGCAGGAGGAGGGAGCGGAGGACCAAGCGGCUCGGCGCCGAUGCGGUCAAGAAACCUGCAGCGGCAGCGUCCAUCGACCAUCGGCACAGAGAAUAUUGGUCCUCCGUUCAGAUCUCAACCCCAGCUUAGAUCUCCGCCGUUGGGUGGCGUGGCGCCUCCGCCGGCUGCAUCUGUCUGCCCAUCGCACAUCUUCGUUGGAGGCUGCCGACGUGAGGCACAGCCGCCAUGGCCGGCGCCAGCUUCUUCCUCCCCAUCGGCCAGGUGACCUUGUUGACUCCUCCCUCUUCACCAGCCAGGCCAACUCGCCGGCACCUCCCACCUCACCGGCCCAGGAGAGAUCCCCACCCUCAACGUCGCCGCGUCCUGUGCUCGCCGCCGUCCAUGAGCCGAUUCCGCAGUGCAGAUGAGCCUCGAAGCAGGAGGCUGGGCGGAGGCAGGUGGCGGCCAUGGGGAUGAGGUUGCAACGGGCGAUGCCAUUAGAGCAGAGAUAGCGUAUCCGUGGUCUAGGGUUGUGUGUAGGGCUGCCAAUCUAGAUCGUUCUAAUCAUCGUUUCUUCCUCAUAUGAUUAGAUUUUUGUGCUUGGUGAAGUAGGUAGGGAGCAGACAUGCAGAUAUGGGAGAAGGUGCUCAUGGGACUCGAUGUCAAGUUGCAGUAGUUCAAGCCAUACCCUGGAUUGGGCGUAGGUGUUUUGACGCCAUGGGAUGGCAUUGCUACUGAUGAGGCGAGCAGCCAACUUGUUUGUGAGAUACAACAACACACCUUGGCUUCAUUGGAGCUCACCAGCAUGCAAAUGUGGUAUGAGGCUUGAUGUUGAUGAAGUUGAAAAGAUAAUUUAUAUUGAUGUGGGAAUUCUCAGACGAGAAGGAAAAAACAGUUCUCUAUUGCUGCUCUGUUGAUAUUUUACUGUUAUUUAUUUUCUGAAACAAUUUGUUGUGAUGGUUAGGUGUACGAUGCCACGGGAGCAAGCGAGAGAACAAACUGGAGGAGGUAGAAAGGCCGUGACUAAUGGGUCUGCUGUAGUAUUUUAACUGUGCCAUGUGGAAUCAACUUCUUAGGUUGCAGUACAUGGUUUCUGCUGUCCUCCCCUUGCUUGCUUGGUACUAGCUGGUUAUGAUGUGGUGGCCGGCCGUUUAUGCUCUGCUACUUGUGCUGCUGCUGCUCUCUGUCUCUCUGUCUUCCUCGAUGCUCAAGACAAGCAACAUG
This is a non-coding RNA of Lolium perenne, 2146 nucleotides long. Lineage: Eukaryota; Viridiplantae; Streptophyta; Magnoliopsida; Poales; Poaceae. The record is from RefSeq and is a predicted model, not a curated record.